UCGACUCCUAAGGCGAGGCCGAAAGGCGUAGUCGAUGGGAAACAGGUUAAUAUUCCUGUACUUGGUGUUACUGCGAAGGGGGGACGGAGAAGGCUAUGUUGGCCGGGCGACGGUUGUCCCGGUUUAAGCGUGUAGGCUGGUUUUCCAGGCAAAUCCGGAAAACCAAGGCUGAGGCGUGAUGACGAGGCACUACGGUGCUGAAGUGACAAAUGCCCUGCUUCCAGGAAAAGCCUCUAAGCAUCAGGUAACAUCAAAUCGUACCCCAAACCGACACAGGUGGUCAGGUAGAGAAUACCAAGGCGCUUGAGAGAACUCGGGUGAAGGAACUAGGCAAAAUGGUGCCGUAACUUCGGGAGAAGGCACGCUGAUAUGUAGGUGAAGCGACUUGCUCGUGGAGCUGAAAUCAGUCGAAGAUACCAGCUGGCUGCAACUGUUUAUUAAAAACACAGCACUGUGCAAACACGAAAGUGGACGUAUACGGUGUGACGCCUGCCCGGUGCCGGAAGGUUAAUUGAUGGGGUUAGCGGUAACGCGAAGCUCUUGAUCGAAGCCCCGGUAAACGGCGGCCGUAACUAUAACGGUCCUAAGGUAGCGAAAUUCCUUGUCGGGUAAGUUCCGACCUGCACGAAUGGCGUAAUGAUGGCCAGGCUGUCUCCACCCGAGACUCAGUGAAAUUGAACUCGCUGUGAAGAUGCAGUGUACCCGCGGCAAGACGGAAAGACCCCGUGAACCUUUACUAUAGCUUGACACUGAACAUUGAGCCUUGAUGUGUAGGAUAGGUGGGAGGCUUUGAAGUGUGGACGCCAGUCUGCAUGGAGCCGACCUUGAAAUACCACCCUUUAAUGUUUGAUGUUCUAACGUUGGCCCGUAAUCCGGGUUGCGGACAGUGUCUGGUGGGUAGUUUGACUGGGGCGGUCUCCUCCUAAAGAGUAACGGAGGAGCACGAAGGUUGGCUAAUCCUGGUCGGACAUCAGGAGGUUAGUGCAAUGGCAUAAGCCAGCUUGACUGCGAGCGUGACGGCGCGAGCAGGUGCGAAAGCAGGUCAUAGUGAUCCGGUGGUUCUGAAUGGAAGGGCCAUCGCUCAACGGAUAAAAGGUACUCCGGGGAUAACAGGCUGAUACCGCCCAAGAGUUCAUAUCGACGGCGGUGUUUGGCACCUCGAUGUCGGCUCAUCACAUCCUGGGGCUGAAGUAGGUCCCAAGGGUAUGGCUGUUCGCCAUUUAAAGUGGUACGCGAGCUGGGUUUAGAACGUCGUGAGACAGUUCGGUCCCUAUCUGCCGUGGGCGCUGGAGAACUGAGGGGGGCUGCUCCUAGUACGAGAGGACCGGAGUGGACGCAUCACUGGUGUUCGGGUUGUCAUGCCAAUGGCACUGCCCGGUAGCUAAAUGCGGAAGAGAUAAGUGCUGAAAGCAUCUAAGCACGAAACUUGCCCCGAGAUGAGUUCUCCCUGAGACUUAGAGUCUCCUGAAGGAACGUUGAAGACGACGACGUUGAUAGGCCGGGUGUGUAAGCGCAGCGAUGCGUUGAGCUAACCGGUACUAAUGAACCGUGAGGCUUAACCUUACAACGCCGAAG
This 1575-nucleotide ribosomal RNA is filed under the name Escherichia coli. Its description in RNAcentral is "partial 23S ribosomal RNA". It matches the Rfam family "Bacterial large subunit ribosomal RNA", at positions 1384 to 2925 of the family's 2925-position model. Lineage: Bacteria; Pseudomonadati; Pseudomonadota; Gammaproteobacteria; Enterobacterales; Enterobacteriaceae. The record is from RNAcentral.